CCUACGGGUGGCUGCAGUGGGGAAUAUUGGACAAUGGGCGCAAGCCUGAUCCAGCAAUACCGCGUGUGUGAAGAAGGCCUUAGGGUUGUAAAGCACUUUCAAUGGGGAGGAAAACCUACCGGUCAAUACCCGGUAGCUUGACAUUACCUGUAGAAGAAGCACCGGCUAACUCCGUGCCAGCAGCCGCGGUAAUACGGAGGGUGCAAGCGGUAAGUGGAAUGUGCGGGGGCGGUUCGUUAGGUCAGAUGUGAAAGCCCCGGGCUUAACCUGGGAACUGCAUUUGAAACUGGCGGACUAGAGUUGAGUAGAGGGGAGUGGAAUUUCAGGUGUAGCGGUGAAAUGCGUAGAUAUCUGAAGGAACACCAGUGGCGAAGGCGACUCCCUGGACUCAAACUGACGCUGAGGUACGAACGCGUGGGUAGCAAACAGGAUUAGAUACCCCAGUAGUC
RNAcentral lists this ribosomal RNA (449 nucleotides) under uncultured bacterium. RNAcentral's name for it is "partial 16S ribosomal RNA". It matches the Rfam family "Bacterial small subunit ribosomal RNA", at positions 338 to 795 of the family's 1533-position model. The record is from RNAcentral.